GCAGGUGUAGUUCAGUGGUAGAACUCCAGCCCUCCAAGCUGGUCAUGCGGGUUCGAUUCCCGUCACCUGCUCCA
Molecule: transfer RNA, 74 nt
Filed under: Bacilli bacterium
Lineage: Bacteria; Bacillati; Bacillota; Bacilli
Description: tRNA-Gly
Rfam family: tRNA
About the family: Transfer RNA (tRNA) molecules are approximately 80 nucleotides in length. Their secondary structure includes four short double-helical elements and three loops (D, anti-codon, and T loops). Further hydrogen bonds mediate the characteristic L-shaped molecular structure. tRNAs have two regions of fundamental functional importance: the anti-codon, which is responsible for specific mRNA codon recognition, and the 3' end, to which the tRNAs corresponding amino acid is attached (by aminoacyl-tRNA synthetases). tRNAs cope with the degeneracy of the genetic code in two manners: having more than one tRNA (with a specific anti-codon) for a particular amino acid; and 'wobble' base-pairing, i.e. permitting non-standard base-pairing at the 3rd anti-codon position.
Source: RNAcentral